GUGAGGAAUUUUCCGCAAUGGGCGAAAGCCUGACGGAGCAAUGCCGCGUGAAGGAUGAAGGCCUAUGGGUUGUAAACUUCUUUUCUUAGAGAAGAAUAUUGACGGUAUCUGAGGAAUAAGCAUCGGCUAACUCUGUGCCAGCAGCCGCGGUAAGACAGAGGAUGCAAGCGUUAUCCGGAAUGAUUGGGCGUAAAGCGUCUGUAGGUGGCUUCAAAAGUCUCCUGUCAAAGAUCAGGGCUUAACCCUGGGCCGGCAGGAGAAACUCUGAGGCUAGAGUUUGGUAGGGGCAGAGGGAAUUCCCGGUGGAGGGGUGAAAUGCGUAGAGAUCGGGAGGAACACCAAAGGCGAAAGCACUCUGCUGGGCCACAACUGACACUGAGAGACGAAAGCGAGGGGAGCAAAAGGGAUUAGAUACCCUGGUAGUCC
Molecule: ribosomal RNA, 426 nt
Filed under: uncultured bacterium
Lineage: Bacteria
Description: partial 16S ribosomal RNA
Rfam family: Bacterial small subunit ribosomal RNA
Source: RNAcentral